RNAcentral lists this ribosomal RNA (489 nucleotides) under uncultured bacterium. Its description in RNAcentral is "partial 16S ribosomal RNA". It matches the Rfam family "Bacterial small subunit ribosomal RNA", at positions 30 to 506 of the family's 1533-position model. The record is from RNAcentral.
AUUGAACGCUGGCGGCAGGCCUAACACAUGCAAGUCGAACGGUAACAGGAAGAAGCUUGCUUCUUUGCUGACGAGUGGCGGACGGGUGAGUAAUGUCUGGGAAACUGCCUGAUGGAGGGGGAUAACUACUGGAAACGGUAGCUAAUACCGCAUAACGUCGCAAGACCAAAGAGGGGGACCUUCGGGCCUCUUGCCAUCGGAUGUGCCCAGAUGGGAUUAGCUAGUAGGUGGGGUAACGGCUCACCUAGGCGACGAUCCCUAGCUGGUCUGAGAGGAUGACCAGCCACACUGGAACUGAGACACGGUCCAGACUCCUACGGGAGGCAGCAGUGGGGAAUAUUGCACAAUGGGCGCAAGCCUGAUGCAGCCAUGCCGCGUGUAUGAAGAAGGCCUUCGGGUUGUAAAGUACUUUCAGCGGGGAGGAAGGGAGUAAAGUUAAUACCUUUGCUCAUUGACGUUACCCGCAGAAGAAACACCGGCGAACUCCGU